CCUACUGGUGGCAGCAGUGGGGAAUCUUGGACAAUGGGGGCAACCCUGAUCCAGCCAUGCCGCGUGAACGAUGAAGGCCUUAGGGUUGUAAAGUUCUUUCAGCUGGGAAGAUAAUGACGGUACCAGCAGAAGAAGCCCCGGCUAACUCCGUGCCAGCAGCCGCGGUAAUACGGAGGGGGCUAGCGUUGUUCGGAAUUACUGGGCGUAAAGCGCACGUAGGCGGACCAUCAAGUUGGGGGUGAAAUCCCGGGGCUCAACCCCGGAACUGCCUCCAAGACUGCUGGUCUGGAGGUCGAGAGAGGCGAGUGGAAUUCCGAGUGUAGAGGUGAAAUUCGUAGAUAUUCGGAGGAACACCAGUGGCGAAGGCGGCUCGCUGGCUCGAUACUGACGCUGAGGUGCGAAAGCGUGGGGAGCAAACAGGAUUAGAUACCCCGGUAGUCGC
RNAcentral lists this ribosomal RNA (442 nucleotides) under uncultured Amaricoccus sp. RNAcentral's name for it is "bacterial SSU rRNA". It matches the Rfam family "Bacterial small subunit ribosomal RNA", at positions 338 to 797 of the family's 1533-position model. The record is from RNAcentral. Lineage: Bacteria; Pseudomonadati; Pseudomonadota; Alphaproteobacteria; Rhodobacterales; Paracoccaceae.